GUGAGAAAAUGUUUUAAACGAUUUAUUGAACAAAAAAAACACGAGGAAAUUUUGUAUUUUUUUAAAAGGCAUUUGAAGACGAGACCCUAAAAGGACGAUACAAAAAAUCUUGCAGGCAAAGGUUAUCUGUGUUUCCCUCCCCCCGCCCCGCCCCCAGAUUCGACUAGAUAUUUCAAAUCUGCAGUGAUUGCGCAAGUCUCCGAGGUAAAAAAUCAGCUGCUCUGCUGGUCACUUGGUCCCAUGCAACCGCCUCCCCCGCCCCACCCCCAUGCAAGCGCCGCCAGCACUCCAGGCCCAGGACGCCCAUGCAUCCAACAGGCUGUUGCUAUGGCAUCCCAGCCUUUAAAGAGUGGGCAACGGAGACUGCCGGUAGUUCAAACUUUAAGGAAUCCACACCAAGGAUACCCCCCCUUCCCCUGCAGUAAAGCGGGGGGCUGAUGCCGAGGGCGACCGAACCUCGCCCAGACAUGGAGGUGAAGGGGGAGUUUUACAACGAUAUCACGCUACUUUUGCAGAACACAAAAAGCAAUAAAGCAAGCUUCAAUGGCAACAAUAUUCCAAUAAAAAGAGGGAAAAGGGUGUGAGGUUAAGGUAUGACAUCUUUCCACGAUCCAACAAAAUGCCCCAAUGAUCUCGAUGGGAAUUUGGUGGUCGCGCCGCCUGCGCCUUUCUUGUGCGAUUUCUUCUCCAGCUUUUUGCUCUUGGCCACGGGCUUCUUCUCCACCUUUCGCGAAGUAGAUGCGACGACCGCCUUCUUGUGCGAUUUAGCGUGGGAGCCGCCACCGCCUCCGGCGCCUCCUUCGCUUCCCCCCUCCAGCUUUUUCCUGUUGAGCUUGAAAGAGCCGUUGGCGCCGGUGCCUUUCACUUGGAGUAAAGUGUCGUUUUGCACCAGCGCCUUGAUGGAGUAUUUGAGAUAGGUCCGCCCGUUUUGCUGGUCGAACCAAGCCACUUUCUUAGCUUCGUAUUGUAGAUUUUGGCCAGCGAGGAACCAUUACGCUCGCCCAGUUUGCGGAUGGAUUCCACCACUAGCUGGCUGUACUUGCCGGGCUGGUUCUUUUUCUUGUUGUUUUUCUUCUUCUUGGAGGGGGAGAGCGCCGCCGACACGCCACCUUUGGCUUUUUUGGCCGCUCCUCUCUUUUCCGGAGCCAGAGGCGCCUCUUCUGCCUCGGUCAGCGGCAGGUCAGCUUCUUCCAGUUCAACAGACAUGCUGGAAAAACGCGCAGGCUUUCAGCCCAAAAGUGUUGGAGAGCGAACGCUCGGCUGACCCUCGGAGCUCUUUUUCUGCACGGCUGCUCUCGGACUGUGGGGCGCCGGGUCAGCAGAGACAAGAAACAAUCAGAGCCACCGAACACGGCUGUCUUCAACACCGCCUGAGAAAAGCAAUCUGCCUGGGCGGGCUUCGG
RNAcentral lists this long non-coding RNA (1403 nucleotides) under Naja naja (Indian cobra). RNAcentral describes it as "lncRNA (ENSNNAG00000000412.1)". The record is from RNAcentral. Lineage: Eukaryota; Metazoa; Chordata; Lepidosauria; Squamata; Elapidae.